This 449-nucleotide ribosomal RNA is filed under the name uncultured bacterium. RNAcentral describes it as "bacterial SSU rRNA". It matches the Rfam family "Bacterial small subunit ribosomal RNA", at positions 28 to 524 of the family's 1533-position model. The record is from RNAcentral.
GGUGAAUGCUGGCGGCGUGGAUGAGGCAUGCAAGUCGAAUGGGUUUAGACCCAUGGCAGACGAGGUAGGAACACGUAGGUACGUACCCCAAAGUCAGGGAUAACCCGCCGAAAGGCGGAAUAAUACUUGAUGGUCUCGCGAGAGUAAAGAUUUAUCGCUUUGGGAACGGCCUGCGUUCUAUCAGCUUGUUGGUAAGGUAACGGCUUACCAAGGCUACGACGGAUAGGGGAGGUGAGAGCCUGACCCCCACGAUGGAACUGCGACACGGUCCAUACUCCUACGGGAGGCUGCAGUCGAGAAUCUUCCGCAAUGGACGAAAGUCUGACGGAGCGACGCCGCGUGGUAGAUGAAGUCCUUAGGGACGUAAAUACCUUUUAUGAGGGAAGAAGUUUAUUGACAUUACCUCAUGAAUAAGGGGCUCCCAACUCUGUGCCAGCAGCCGCGGUAAU